This is a long non-coding RNA of Phragmites australis (common reed), 2447 nucleotides long. RefSeq lists it as uncharacterized. The transcript has 3 exons. The record is from RefSeq and is a predicted model, not a curated record. NCBI's taxonomy places the organism in Eukaryota, Viridiplantae, Streptophyta, Magnoliopsida, Poales, Poaceae.
UUGAUUUCUUUCUUCUGGCUCACCUCGUGAAGAUAUGAAUCUUCCAACUCUUUAAUCUGCAAGGAGAGUUUGGUCAUACUUCCUUCACCUAAAAGAGAUUAAUUAUAGCUGGUCUUAUAAAGGUCCAUUUCGGCUUUGCAGAGUUUGUUACGUUCUUCAUUGGCUUCAUCCUUCGACAGCUCAGCUUCAGUGCACGAAUCUUGAAGUUUAUCAUACAUUUCUUCAUGUAUCCUUGGUUCGUCUUUCUGUGUGAUACCAUUAAGAGUUUAAAUUAUUUUGAUGAUUUAUCACUGAGUGUUAGCACUCUGAGUUAUUUAAUACAGUACAUACCAGAUCACAUGCUGAUGCUGGCACCAAGUAGACAUUAUCAUAUUCAUGAGUUGGAGAAUGCAUCAUUGGUAUUACUUCGUUUCUAUCACCAAUAAUCACAGGUAGAGCUGUGGCUCCGGAGAAGCUGACGGCAUCAUCAGUUCUUGAUGAUCCAUACUCUAUCAUUCCCCAGUCUGGGUUCAUUGUCACAAUGAAAAGAACAAGUGUGACUACUUUCAAAAGGAAAAAUGACAGCAUUGCUAGUACUUUACAGAAGACAUAAGUUUAAUGUGGUGGAGUUUAUUUAUGAACCCUGUUGAUGCUAAAUUCAUGUUAGACAACAUUACAAACUACAUAUCGAUAUCUUUGGGCUUCAUUCUACUAAGAUGACAAUUUGAUUAUGUAAGCAUAAAAUCAUUUUCUUACUGACUUAAAAAAAGUCAAAUGGCUAUUUCACGAGAAUGACAUGAUUUGUCAUUCUAAAUAUGCUUAGGAUAGUCACCUCCGAACAAAUAGUCCCAAUCAUUCAUUGCUGUUGCAACCAAUGAGCUUGAAGUGUAUCCUUUUGGGCUUGAUACUUCGUAUUCCAACCCAGCCAGUGCCAUUGAUCUCAUUUGGUUUAAAAUAUUUUACGCUGGUGAUGGUGAUGCAUUGCUUUGUGCAGGUGACAGAGGUAUUGCAGGAAUGUUUUCUUUUGCUUCCCUGUAAGUUUGAUAUGCAAUAUUAGUGAUUUUUCAGUCAUUUGGAACAGUACUUUACUGGCUUUACUACUUAAGAAUAUUUCUAACUGGGACAAUCAGAUGUUGAGUUGUGGUUGAGAGCACACUUCAGCUAAACUUGAAUUUACUAUUUUUAGAUAUAAAAGUCCGAAAAGAUACUAAAACUGCAGGUGGCAAAUGAACCUCACUCUGCUUUACCUUGUACAUAUCAAAUGCCCUUUACAAGUAAACCAUAUCUUGCACAAUGGAGCUGCUGUCUCCAUCAGCUUGAGUGCUGUCUUCGACAUUGGUGUUUUCAUUUCCCUACAGUUUGAGAACAUUGGUUAGAAUGUGCGAUCAUGAAGUAAUUCUAAGACACUGAUCUAAGCCUGCUAGCUGCAUGCACCGCUUGCUUGUUCAUUAAUUCUGUUGCCUGCUGAUCAACUCCUGACAAAACUAUAAAUCUCUCAGGUAAUUAAAUUCUAAAUAUAGUGAUGUUUGCAUUAAUAGAAUAAUAUUUGAAUCAUAGAUAGUCAUCUUAUCACUGCAUCCAGUUUUAGGAUUAAGGGUGAUUAGAAACACUAGAUCUGGUAAUUGUGAUCAUACCUUGAGUAAUGUUGGUCUGCAGCUGCUCCCAUGACAAGCUUGGUGAUGCUAUGAAUGGCAAUGAGCUCAUGAAGUCCUUUAGCAACAUCGUCCAUCUCAAUUAUUACUUUCUCACAACUAACCUGGAACAGGAUAAUUUCAUAUUUAUCCUGUCGAAAUUGUUCUCAAUGACGAUCAUAGUCUUAUCGAAAAUACUGAUUCUCGAGUUAAUUCACGACGGUGGAAAAACCGAAAACCCUAAGCUAGUAGCAACAAUGAAAUGAUGCAGGUAAUUACACCUCAAGAUCUUCCCUUGUGCAUUUAGCUAUCAGAAGAGCAUAUGAAUCUAGGUUUUCCUCUGCCUUUUCUCUCUUAAGCUUACUGUAGUCUUUGACAUCGUCCGGUUUCAUGCUGGUAUGAUCCCUCACUGAAAUACAACAGAAAAAAACAAGCUGUUCAAAAGGUAGCAGACACAAUCAGGAUGUAGGAAUUUCUGGCUAAGUUAUUGUGCUAUGAUGGAUUUUUUUGGAGUUUUAAGGUAUCUCAUGACCCAGUGAUUUUCUUUGCUGAGAAAAGAUUCCAAUAUUUCUUUGCUGAACAAUAUUGUUGGUUAUAUAUCAUGAGUAUUGAGUAGUUUCUUCUGAUCAUUAGUGAUGCUUUUGCAGUCUCCAGGUUGCACAGCUAUCUACCGUGCUCCUCAGGAAAAGAAGACAGGGAUAUGGACGUGAGCUAUCACAAUCCUGGACCCAUCGUUGGCCAGGUUGUGCAGCGCCCACAGCAAGGUGCUCUCCCCAUCGCUGACCUCUUCAGGUAAUGCAACGAACACCUUGUCGUUGGCAUUGGCAGGUGGGCUCA